AUGUGGAGCCGUAGCGAAAGCGAGUCUGAAUAGGGCGAAUGAGUAUUUGGUCGUAGACCCGAAACCAGGUGAUCUACCCUUGGUCAGGUUGAAGUUCAGGUAACACUGAAUGGAGGACCGAACCGACUUACGUUGAAAAGUGAGCGGAUGAACUGAGGGUAGCGGAGAAAUUCCAAUCGAACUUGGAGAUAGCUGGUUCUCUCCGAAAUAGCUUUAGGGCUAGCCUCAAGUGAUGAUUAUUGGAGGUAGAGCACUGUUUGGACGAGGGGCCCCUCUCGGGUUACCGAAUUCAGACAAACUCCGAAUGCCAAAUAAUUUAACUUGGGAGUCAGAAUGUGGGUGAUAAGGUCCAUAUUCGAAAGGGAAACAGCCCAGACCACCAGCUAAGGUCCCAAAAUAUAUGUUAAGUGGAAAAGGAUGUGGCGUUGCCCAGACAACUAGGAUGUUGGCUUAGAAGCAGCCAUCAUUUAAAGAGUGCGUAAUAGCUCACUAGUCGAGUGACACUGCGCCGAAAAUGUACCGGGGCUAAACAUAUUACCGAAGCUGUGGAUUGUCCUUUGGACAAUGGUAGGAGAGCGUUCUAAGGGCGUUGAAGCAUGAUCGCAAGGACAUGUGGAGCGCUUAGAAGUGAGAAUGCCGGUGUGAGUA
This 648-nucleotide ribosomal RNA is filed under the name Staphylococcus pseudintermedius. RNAcentral describes it as "partial 23S ribosomal RNA". It matches the Rfam family "Bacterial large subunit ribosomal RNA", at positions 658 to 1308 of the family's 2925-position model. The record is from RNAcentral. Lineage: Bacteria; Bacillati; Bacillota; Bacilli; Caryophanales; Staphylococcaceae.